Molecule: long non-coding RNA, 516 nt
Organism: Brienomyrus brachyistius
Lineage: Eukaryota; Metazoa; Chordata; Actinopteri; Osteoglossiformes; Mormyridae
Exons: 3
Source: RefSeq, a predicted model, not a curated record
UAAUCAAAGCUUAAAAACAUAAGAAAAGGAUUUAUAAAAACAAACCAGCUGGAAACGCUGUACAGAAAAAAGCCAGUUAAUCUAUUAGUAUCAGAAACAAAAAUUGUGAGUGGCAUGCAUUUUUGCUGUUGGUUCGGGCUGUUAGUUGGGGUUGCUAGGUGGGGCUGCCAUGUGGGCUGUUGGUUGGAGCUGCCGAGUGGGGUUGUUGGGUGGGGUUGUUGGUUGGGGUUGCUAGGUGGGGCUGCCAUGUGGGCUGUUGGUUGGAGCUGCCGAAUGGGGUUGUUGGGUGAGGCUGUUGGUUGGGGUUGCUAAGUGGGGCUGUUGGAUGGGGUUGCUAGGUAGGGCUGCCAUGUGGGCUGUUGGUUGGAGCUGCCGAGUGGGGUUGUUGGGUGGGGCUGUUGGUUGGGGUUGCUAGGUAGGGCUGCCAUGUGGGCUGUUGGGUGGGGCUAGAGUUCACUUCCCCUGUACCAGGUGCUGGAUCAUGUCCAGUGGCAGCGGGAAGAUGAUGGUGGAGUU